UUCUAACAGCAUAAGAGAGGUAGUGACAAGAAAUAACAGUACAAGGCAGUUAAAAUGCUUUGUAAUUGGAAUGAUAGAAAUUUAAAUACUUUUUAAAGUAUCAAUUGGAGGGCAAGUCUGGUGCCAGCAGCCGCGGUAAUUCCAGCUCCAAUAGCGUAUAUUAAAAUUGUUGCAGUUAAAAAGCUCGUAGUUGAAUUUUUGCUAGAAAUAACCGGUCUGCUUUUAUUUAUAAGAGUGGUAUCUUGGUGUGCUUUUAGCAAUAAUAUCCUUUGGAAUGUUUUUUACUUUAUUGUAAAAAGCAAUUUUGAGGAUUUUUACUUUGAGAAAAUUAGAGUGUUUCAAGCAGGCUAACGUUUUGAAUACUGCAGCAUGGAAUAAUAA
RNAcentral lists this ribosomal RNA (381 nucleotides) under Hepatozoon sp. dog/100/Cro. Its description in RNAcentral is "bacterial SSU rRNA". It matches the Rfam family "Eukaryotic small subunit ribosomal RNA", at positions 449 to 820 of the family's 1831-position model. The record is from RNAcentral. Lineage: Eukaryota; Apicomplexa; Hepatozoidae.